Molecule: ribosomal RNA, 236 nt
Filed under: uncultured bacterium
Lineage: Bacteria
Description: partial 16S ribosomal RNA
Rfam family: Bacterial small subunit ribosomal RNA
Source: RNAcentral
UUGUUCGGAUUUACUGGGCGUAAAGGGCGCGUAGGCGGCGCGGUAAGUCACUUGUGAAAUCUCUGAGCUUAACUCAGAACGGCCAAGUGAUACUGCAGUGCUAGAGUGCAGAAAGGGCAAUCGGAAUUCUUGGUGUAGCGGUGAAAUGCGUAGAUAUCAAGAGGAACACCUGAGGCGAAGGCGGGUUGCUAGGCUGACACUGACGCUGAGGCGCGAAAGCCAGGGGAGCAAACGGG